UACGGAAGGCAGCAGUGGGGAAUCUUGCGCAAUGGGCGAAAGCCUGACGCAGCCAUGCCGCGUGAAUGAUGAAGGUCUUAGGAUUGUAAAAUUCUUUCACCGGGGACGAUAAUGACGGUACCCGGAGAAGAAGCCCCGGCUAACUUCGUGCCAGCAGCCGCGGUAAUACGAAGGGGCUAGCGUUGCUCGGAAUUACUGGGCGUAAAGGGAGCGUAGGCGGACAUUUAAGUCAGGGGUGAAAUCCCGGGGCUCAACCUCGGAAUUGCCUUUGAUACUGGGUGUCUUGAGUAUGAGAGAGGUAUGUGGAACUCCGAGUGUAGAGGUGAAAUUCGUAGAUAUUCGGAAGAACACCAGUGGCGAAGGCGACAUACUGGCUCAUUACUGACGCUGAGGCUCGAAAGCGUGGGGAGCAAACAGGGAUUAGAUACC
RNAcentral lists this ribosomal RNA (429 nucleotides) under uncultured bacterium. RNAcentral's name for it is "bacterial SSU rRNA". It matches the Rfam family "Bacterial small subunit ribosomal RNA", at positions 340 to 786 of the family's 1533-position model. The record is from RNAcentral.